RNAcentral lists this ribosomal RNA (451 nucleotides) under uncultured bacterium. RNAcentral describes it as "bacterial SSU rRNA". It matches the Rfam family "Bacterial small subunit ribosomal RNA", at positions 67 to 514 of the family's 1533-position model. The record is from RNAcentral.
CGGUAACAGGCCUUCGGGCGCUGACGAGUGGCGAACGGGUGAGUAAUGCAUCGGAACGUGCCCGGUCGUGGGGGAUAACACUUCGAAAGAAGUGCUAAUACCGCAUACGAUCUAUGGAUGAAAGCGGGGGACCGUAAGGCCUCGCGCGAUCGGAGCGGCCGAUGUCAGAUUAGGUAGUUGGUGGGGUAAAGGCUCACCAAGCCAACGAUCUGUAGCUGGUCUGAGAGGACGACCAGCCACACUGGGACUGAGACACGGCCCAGACUCCUACGGGAGGCAGCAGUGGGGAAUUUUGGACAAUGGGCGCAAGCCUGAUCCAGCAAUGCCGCGUGCAGGAAGAAGGCCUUCGGGUUGUAAACUGCUUUUGUACGGAACGAAACGGUCCGGGUUAAUACCCUGGGCUAAUGACGGUACCGUAAGAAUAAGGCACCGGCUAACUACGUGCCAGCAC